UGCCUGAUCUGGUCGGGGCGCUCAUCUCUCGGCUGGCGUCACCGGGGAGCCAGCCUUCUUCACCGGUGUGCGGUCGCCGGCAGCCAGUCACGUUCUGGUGCUCCGUCGGCUUCCUGGCUGCUCCCCUCCCCCUCUGGUGCACAGCUGGCUGCCUGGCUCCGCCCCAUUGUAGUGGCGGCCUUGCUGGCCUCUUGGCCGGCCUUGCUACCACCGCCGGAGGGGGAAGCCGUCGGCCCCCGGUGGCGUGCUGGUGCGGCGUCGGCCCCAGGCUCCCUCUAGUGCCGAGACGGCGGGCUAGCGCAUGCGGUCGCCUAGCGGCCUGCACUCGCGGCGCUCGAGCGCUGCCAGGCGAGCGGGCAACCAGCCGCACGGCCUUCGGCACGCGUGUCAGGCAGCCAGUCACAGCGGCCAGCGCGGGGAACAGGCGCGCACGCAGCGUGCUCGCAGCUGAGCAAGCAGCAACGCAGGAGGCCUGGGCCAGCAAGGGCACUCAGCCCAAGGUGGCCAGCAGCUUGGGGGUGCUGCGGCCAGGCCGGCGGUGCAAGCAGGAGCAGGUCUACAGCAGUAGCUGGGCCAAUUCGGUUUGAAUCCUCUCUUUGCACUUGCCAUUUAAUUCCUGCUCAUUUUUUUAAAGUUAAUUGACGGCCACAAGCUGCAAGGUCUGAGGAUCGACGACUGCGCAAUUUGUGGUUUGGAAAGUUACAGGACUGAGAUGGGAGAGGGCUUAUGAAGGCAUGCAUACAUGUCUUUCUCACCUGCAGGUCUCCUAUGAAUCUCUAAUCUUGUCGUUCUUUAUGCUUAAUGCUCACUUUUUUAACAGGACAUGAUGCAAGAGUAUAGAAAUAGAUCAUGGGAUGAAACCUGCAAAUUAACGGCAUAUAACACAUACUAUCUGACAUUGAUGACAUCUUAUCAUAUUGUAUGAUUUAUGAUUUUUAUAUCUUUUUUUUUUGCAUGGACAUAUGUAUCAGUUACAGGAGAUUGGUGUGUGUUGGAGUAACUGGCUUGAAACAUAGCAGUUUGUAUGACACUAAGGAUGUAGGAUAAAGGAGUUGCAGGUGCAUGGUGCUUAUAAACAUGGGUAUGAUAGGAUCUCCAGGAGAAGUUAUUCAGCUCCUACUCAGGAACCUGUACCAGGGUAGUAUUAUGGUUGGGGAAGUGCAAAUGUGUGGUGUUAUAUAUUUCACACUUAAUCAGCUCUAGAGUGUCAAGGCCUUUUGACCUUACUCCAUGGUGAACCUGCUAGGCAUGAGUACUCCUCUGUGAAGCAGCAAAAAGAACUGUUAUCGAUAUCUUCAAAUGUUUUUGCUAGCUAAGUUUUGCCAUGGAACCUGAUUCGCUUAUUACUUUGUGGUUAUUCUGAGUGAAUCUUUAUCGCUUGUGUUCUUUUUAUUUUUUUUGUUUUGGGUGUCAAACAGCAACUAUAUAAGAAAAUAGCUGCAGUAGUCAAAUAUGAUGUGGCCAUGAAAGGAGGUGAUAAGUGCUUGGAAUAUCCAACAGCCACCCACUCACUUACAGGAUCAUAAAAGGCCUUCAUCUAUGUAGCUGCUCAGAUCAAUGGCCUGCUGAAACUUCUUCCUGUAUCAUCUUUCUAUGAUGGGAUUUGCUGAAGCAUACUUGGAAGGGGUUAGGGAGUUCACUGCCUUGCUACAAUCCAAACUUCUUCUGUGUAUAUCCUGCAAGAGGCUCAGUACCCUUACUGUAUUGGUGGGUGAGUACAUAUGGGAAAAGGGGAAGUCAGGGUUUGCGGGAGCACCGCUAUGUCAUUUAAGAAGAAGGAUGCAGCUUAGAGAUUGAAGUAAUCUUCAGAACUAACAUGCUGGUAUUUUCUUGUAUAUGGUUUGCUAUGGUUGCCAGUGAAGCAGGUACUAAUAGAUUUUAUUCUCU
This is a long non-coding RNA of Panicum virgatum (switchgrass), 1887 nucleotides long. RefSeq lists it as uncharacterized. The transcript is spliced from 4 exons. Lineage: Eukaryota; Viridiplantae; Streptophyta; Magnoliopsida; Poales; Poaceae. The record is from RefSeq and is a predicted model, not a curated record.